UUUCCUUGUAAUAAUUCCAUCGUUUUGGAUAAUGCUUUAUAGAUAGUUUCGUCUUCUGAUAUGACGAAAGCUACCUCCAGAUCAGAAUAUACCUGAUUCUUUACUAAGCCACAGACAAUAGUUGCAUGUGAGGGAAGAGGAGCUCCAGCAAGGUAUUUCAGGACCCCAUUAGAUUUGGGCAGGCUGGAUAGCUCAAACUGGUCAGAUAUGUCUAAAAACAGACGACAUCCAAUUUCCCUCG
RNAcentral lists this unclassified non-coding RNA (241 nucleotides) under Hevea brasiliensis (rubber tree). The record is from RNAcentral. Lineage: Eukaryota; Viridiplantae; Streptophyta; Magnoliopsida; Malpighiales; Euphorbiaceae.